AAGUCGUAACAAGGUCUCCGUAGGUGAACCUGCGGAGGGAUCAUUACAGAGUACGGGGGCUUGCCCCCGUUGAACUCACCACCCUUUGCUGUGACCGUGACCAUCUGUCUGUCGCCUCGGGGGACCCCGACGUUCGCGUCGGCCCCCCGGCGUGCCAACCAACCUCUGCAUCAUAGUCGUCAGAGUCGUAUUGCGAAAUAAAGCAAAA
RNAcentral lists this unclassified non-coding RNA (208 nucleotides) under plant metagenome. RNAcentral describes it as "partial contains small subunit ribosomal RNA and internal transcribed spacer 1". The stretch from base 1 to 46 matches the Rfam family "Eukaryotic small subunit ribosomal RNA", at positions 1786 to 1831 of the family's 1831-position model. The record is from RNAcentral.